GCCGGAGUGGCGGAAUGGCAGACGCGCGUGACUCAAAAUCACGUAUCCGUAAGGGUGUGUGGGUUCAAGUCCCUCCUCCGGUA
Molecule: transfer RNA, 83 nt
Filed under: Acidobacteriota bacterium
Lineage: Bacteria; Pseudomonadati; Acidobacteriota
Also listed under: 2 other names
Description: Acidobacteria bacterium tRNA-Leu
Rfam family: tRNA
About the family: Transfer RNA (tRNA) molecules are approximately 80 nucleotides in length. Their secondary structure includes four short double-helical elements and three loops (D, anti-codon, and T loops).
Source: RNAcentral